CUACGGGACGCUGCAGUGGGGAAUAUUGCACAAUGGAGGAAACUCUGAUGCAGCAACGCCGCGUGGAGGAUGACACUUUUCGGAGCGUAAACUCCUUUUAUAUAGGAAGAAGAUGACGGUACUAUAUGAAUAAGCGCCGGCUAACUCCGUGCCAGCAGCCGCGGUAAUACGGAGGGCGCAAGCGUUACUCGGAAUCACUGGGCGCAAGAGCGUGUAGGCGGAUUAAAAAGUCAGAAGUGAAAUACUAUAGCUUAACUAUAGAACCGCUUCUGAAACUCUUAAUCUAGAAUAUGGGAGAGGUAGAUGGAAUUUCUGGUGUAGGGGUAAAAUCCGUAGAGAUCAGAAGGAAUACCGAUUGCGAAGGCGAUCUACUAGAACAUUAUUGACGCUGAGACGCGAAAGCGUGGGGAGCAAACAGGAUUAGAUACCCUUGUAGUC
This 438-nucleotide ribosomal RNA is filed under the name uncultured bacterium. Its description in RNAcentral is "partial 16S ribosomal RNA". It matches the Rfam family "Bacterial small subunit ribosomal RNA", at positions 339 to 795 of the family's 1533-position model. The record is from RNAcentral.